UGGGGAAUAUUGGACAAUGGGCGAAAGCCUGAUCCAGCCAUGCCGCGUGUGUGAAGAAGGUCUUCGGAUUGUAAAGCACUUUAAGUUGGGAGGAAGGGCAUUAACCUAAUACGUUAGUGUUUUGACGUUACCGACAGAAUAAGCACCGGCUAACUCUGUGCCAGCAGCCGCGGUAAUACAGAGGGUGCAAGCGUUAAUCGGAAUUACUGGGCGUAAAGCGCGCGUAGGUUGUUUGUUAAGUUGGAUUUGAAAUCCCCGGGCUCAACCUGGGAACUGCAUUCAAAACUGACUGACUAGAGUAUGGUAGAGGGUGGUGGAAUUUCCUGUGUAGCGGUGAAAUGCGUAGAUAUAGGAAGGAACACCAGUGGCGAAGGCGACCACCUGGACUAAUACUGACACUGAGGUGCGAAAGCGUGGGGAGCAAACA
This 427-nucleotide ribosomal RNA is filed under the name uncultured bacterium. RNAcentral describes it as "partial 16S ribosomal RNA". It matches the Rfam family "Bacterial small subunit ribosomal RNA", at positions 355 to 774 of the family's 1533-position model. The record is from RNAcentral.